AAUGGAGUGCCUGAAAAAAGGAUUAUUUUGAUAGAAUAAAUUAUGUGAAAUUCACCUUCAUUA
RNAcentral lists this transfer RNA (63 nucleotides) under Staphylinidae sp. 2 EF-2015. RNAcentral describes it as "tRNA-Ile". The record is from RNAcentral. Lineage: Eukaryota; Metazoa; Arthropoda; Insecta; Coleoptera; Staphylinidae.